Molecule: non-coding RNA, 45 nt
Organism: Schistosoma mattheei
Lineage: Eukaryota; Metazoa; Platyhelminthes; Trematoda; Strigeidida; Schistosomatidae
Source: Rfam
AUCCAGCUGACGAGUCCCAGAUACGACGAAACGUACAUCCUGGAU